Molecule: long non-coding RNA, 696 nt
Organism: Scomber scombrus (Atlantic mackerel)
Lineage: Eukaryota; Metazoa; Chordata; Actinopteri; Scombriformes; Scombridae
Exons: 11
Source: RefSeq, a predicted model, not a curated record
GAAGACUGCAGCGUGAGCACAGAGAGCCUCAGAGCUCCUCAUCACAUCUCAACAGAAUGAUCACUUCUUCCAGAUUAAUCUUCACAACCUUUGUGGGCAAUGAAGCGCAGAUGAAGAUGGCUAAUUCUAACUCCGACUGGUACACAUAAUAAGAUGUCCUGAUGCAGUCACUGGAGAAGCACCAGGUGUAAUCUAAUGUCUCCUGUGCUGGACGAGAAGCACAGAUGACAAUGGCUAAUUCUAACUCUGACUGGUACACAUAAUACGAAGUACAGAUGAAGAUGGCUAAUUCUAACUAUGACUGGUACACCUAAUAAGAUGUCAGAUUACCACUGUAAACUACACAUUGCCAAGUGUAUCAGCCUUUUCGCCGCUGUGGCUUUCAGAUAUCCUGAAGCGGUCACUGGAGAUGCACCAGGUGUAAUCUAAUGUCUCCUGUGCUGGACGAGAAAAGAGGGGGCAAUAAUGGAGAGAAAACAUGAGUAUCAGCUUCAUCUCAUCUCUGAUAAGCACUAGCAGCAGUAAUGGAGAAACAUGUCUGCUUCCUCUUAUCUCUGGAUUUGGCCAGUUGAUUGAUCUGCCUGGUUAUGGGGAAGCCUCGUUGGAAGGUUUUGGAGGAACAUUUGGAGUUCUUUGCCAGAUCUGUGUGAUCAAAGUCUGAUUCAUUAUUAAUAAAAUUUGUUUGCUGUGAAAAUA